Peromyscus eremicus (cactus mouse) is the source of this 492-nucleotide long non-coding RNA. RefSeq lists it as uncharacterized. The transcript has 3 exons. The record is from RefSeq and is a predicted model, not a curated record. Lineage: Eukaryota; Metazoa; Chordata; Mammalia; Rodentia; Cricetidae.
GGACUGGCCCUCCAUCAGACUCAGCAACACUUCCAUUCCGUGGGAAUCAGAAGGUGGAGGAGGAAGCGGAGGGCAGAAGGGCCUGCCCGGUUGGGGUUCUUCCGCAGGCAGCCGUUAGCUGUCUCUACCUCACUGACAACAGUGCAGAAUUGUGUAACGGCCCGGUUUCCCCUUUCUUGGCGGUUCCCAGCAGCUUUGAGCCAGCCCCGCUACCUGAGGGUGUCCGAUUCUGUACCCCGCUGGUUUCUGCAGAACAGCUGUUGGGUGACUGGAUCGGAGGUGACUGACCGUGACAAGCCUGCUGAUAACAGAAGACAAACAGCAGGAACCCCAAAGACUCUCUCUCUGGCUGGCAGGAUGAUGGAAAGGCCCAUCUGUGUACCAGUGUCUACAAUACAAACACUACAGGGUGCCACGGCAUGUCUGCAAUUUAGCACUUGGGAGGAUGGACAGGACCGGCUUGCUUUCAAAGCCAUGGUGUCCACAGUGAGG